GUUGGAAUAAUAAAUUAUUAAACUUGAUUUGUAGAAGAAAAAUCUAGAAUCAAAUAAAGUAAAAGAAAACAAAAGAAAAUAAUAGAACUUAGAAGAGAAUUCUAGAAGCAGCUAUCUAAUUAAGUAAAGAAAUUAGUAGAAAAUGCUAGAACUCCAAAACAAAGUCGGUGAAACCAACAUUGUAAAGCUAUAUAUAUAUAUGUCCAUUUGUAAUGUGUGUAGGAUAGUGAUGUGAAGAAAAGUUAGU
RNAcentral lists this long non-coding RNA (247 nucleotides) under Salvia miltiorrhiza (redroot sage). RNAcentral's name for it is "long non-coding RNA (SMIL_LNC002244)". Lineage: Eukaryota; Viridiplantae; Streptophyta; Magnoliopsida; Lamiales; Lamiaceae. The record is from RNAcentral.